Molecule: ribosomal RNA, 504 nt
Filed under: uncultured bacterium
Lineage: Bacteria
Description: partial 16S ribosomal RNA
Rfam family: Bacterial small subunit ribosomal RNA
Source: RNAcentral
AUUGGACGCUGGCGGCAGGCCUAACACAUGCAAGUCGAACGGUAGCACAGAGAGCUUGCUCUCGGGUGACGAGUGGCGGACGGGUGAGUAAUGUCUGGGAAACUGCCCGAUGGAGGGGGAUAACUACUGGAAACGGUAGCUAAUACCGCAUAACGUCGCAAGACCAAAGUGGGGGACCUUCGGGCCUCACACCAUCGGAUGUGCCCAGAUGGGAUUAGCUAGUAGGUGGGGUAAUGGCUCACCUAGGCGACGAUCCCUAGCUGGUCUGAGAGGAUGACCAGCCACACUGGAACUGAGACACGGUCCAGACUCCUACGGGAGGCAGCAGUGGGGAAUAUUGCACAAUGGGCGCAAGCCUGAUGCAACCAUGCCGCGUGUAUGAAGAAGGCCUUCGGGUUGUAAAGUACUUUCAGCGAGGAGGAAGGCGUUGUGGUUAAUAACCGCAGCGAUUGACGUUACUCGCAGAAGAAGCACCGGCUAACUCCGUGCCAGCCGCCGCAGUAA